CGUAACGCGUAUGCAACCUACCUUGAACAGGGGGAUAGCCCGAAGAAAUUCGGAUUAAUACCGCAUAAGAUAACGGGGUGAGCAUUCACUUGUUAUUAAAGAUUUAUUGGUUCAAGAUGGGCAUGCGUGCCAUUAGCUAGUUGGUGAGGUAACGGCUCACCAAGGCUACGAUGGCUAGGGGAUCUGAGAGGAUGACCCCCCACACUGGUACUGAGACACGGACCAG
Molecule: ribosomal RNA, 226 nt
Filed under: uncultured bacterium
Lineage: Bacteria
Description: partial 16S ribosomal RNA
Rfam family: Bacterial small subunit ribosomal RNA
Source: RNAcentral